Acromyrmex echinatior (Panamanian leafcutter ant) is the source of this 1776-nucleotide long non-coding RNA. RefSeq lists it as uncharacterized. Lineage: Eukaryota; Metazoa; Arthropoda; Insecta; Hymenoptera; Formicidae. The record is from RefSeq and is a predicted model, not a curated record.
UUUAAAAUAUGGCAAUGCUGGAAGUCCUCGUGUGCUAUUCGUACUGAUAAUGGCAUUUGUUCUAGCUCGAGGCGGAACUUUAUGAACGAUAGGGUCAAAGUGAGGAUUAUUAAAAGCUCGUACGCAGUCUUUGGAGAAAAAAGUUGGUAUAAAAAACGCGUACGUAUUUGUUAUCCGGGAAUUCGGUAGAUACAACAAUUUUCUCUCUCUCUCUCUCUCUCUCUCCCUCCUCUCCCCCCCCUCUCUCUUUUUAGACAUAAUUUAUGUCCUGGAAUAAAUACUUUAAUCUUUUUCCUGGCGUGAAAUGGAGUAGUGGAUUUGUACGCGUCUCCCUUUCAAGGGGAACGUCGGGAAGAAUUUUCAUGCAAAUGUACUCUUUUGCUGUGUGGCGGCAUAGUAUAAAUAAAUAAAACAUGGAAAAAUACCGAAGUCCAGUUGUGGCUCUCCCUUUCUCUCCUUUCCAUCCUUUUUGCUUCUCUUUUUUUUUGCGCACAUGCACACGGAGAACAUAUUGCAUUACGCUUGAUUGUUCUGUUUUCUUUUUAUUCUUACUAACUACUCUUCGUAAGUUGUGAGUAAAUAGAAAACGGUGAACUUCAAACUCGCCCGCUCAGUUAUAAUUGGAAGUACAACAUUUUCCCAAACAUGUUCUACGAGUCCAUUCGGCGUGUUUGCAGAAGCGUUAACCAUGACGCAAACUUCAUGUCGACAUGUCACGAAAGCUUUUAUUUCAAUUCCGACAGUCCAUGCAAUUCCGACGUAAACUCGAUUGCUUAAAACUUGGUGUCAAAAUAAUUCCAUUUCUAGGAUCGUCUAAGGUCACUAUAAAUCAUCAAGCACAACUGUUUGCAAAUUGCACGCGAUAAUAAUGAACCCUCGCUAUUUGCCAGGGAAUUCAACACGAUCAUCAUCAAACUGUCUGAGCACAGCCGUAAUCGCGAGUAAUCUAGAUUCACGGUUGCAUCUAUAUAUCCAGAAAUCACGACGGUGUCGCUCGUCUCGAAGACAAGCUAGUUUAUCCCGCACCCUCGUUUCCCCGCCCUUUCGCAGACAGAUAUUCCUGGACGCAUAAUCCUCCUUCGAGCCCCGACGAUUCGAGACACGUUCGCGGAUCAGCGUCAGCGAUAUCAUCGCGGAUUAAGACGGGGAGCUGCAGCGUGAGGCGGGAAUUCGAAGAAACUACCGAAAAACGGAGAGACAGGGAGAAAACAGAAGGCUGCAGGUCGAUCGAUGAGCCGCGCACACGUCACAUUUAUCACAAGGAUAAGGAGAAGCUGAAAAUUUCGCCUUUUAUAUAUAAAACAUCGUAACGGGCUCCUUUGUAAUUUCAUUUUAAAAUACGACGGUGCGAUUCGAGUGUUUGACGUUUGGUAUCUCGGGACCAAUGCGUGAAAGUCUCUGGGAUCGACGAUGACACAUUCGCGACUUGCGAAAAGUCGUAAUGCACCAAAUGGCCCAUUCGCACGGGACACAACGAAUGAGAAUUAUUUCAGUGGUGUUAUAUUAACGUACGACGAAAAUGAAUCGCGAUACGCAGCGCGCGAGCAUAGAUACAUAUAAGUGUCAAAUGCCACGAGGAAGAGCAACCUUAUAUUGUAUCAUUUUCGUUGCCACGACGGUGAAUUAAUGCAGCGAGCUCCCACGUGAUUCGAAACUGGCUCGUAUUGCGAGACUCGAGAGAUUCUCCAACAGGAUAUUGCGACGAUUAGCUGUUUAUAAUAGCUAGAAGUAUGUACAGCGGAAUGGGCGAUUAAUAAAUCUCUGAUUUCUUGUGGA